GAAAAAUUAGUUAAAAAAUAAUAUAAGCUUGUCAUGCUUGAGUAGCCUCGUUGGUAUUUUUCU
This 63-nucleotide transfer RNA is filed under the name Chthamalus malayensis. RNAcentral describes it as "tRNA-Asp". Lineage: Eukaryota; Metazoa; Arthropoda; Thecostraca; Balanomorpha; Chthamalidae. The record is from RNAcentral.